This 253-nucleotide ribosomal RNA is filed under the name uncultured bacterium. Its description in RNAcentral is "partial 16S ribosomal RNA". It matches the Rfam family "Bacterial small subunit ribosomal RNA", at positions 524 to 776 of the family's 1533-position model. The record is from RNAcentral.
UACGUAGGUGGCAAGCGUUGUCCGGAAUCAUUGGGCGUAAAGCGCGCGUAGGCGGCCAGAUAAGUCCGGUGUGAAAGUCACAGGCUCAACCUGUGAAUGCCGCUGGAAACUGUCUGGCUAGAGUCCGGAAGGGGCGAGUGGAAUUCCUGGUGUAGCGGUGAAAUGCGCAGAUAUCAGGAGGAACACCAAUGGCGAAGGCAGCUCGCUGGAACGGUACUGACGCUGAGGCGCGAAAGCGUGGGGAGCGAACAGG